Molecule: ribosomal RNA, 399 nt
Filed under: uncultured bacterium
Lineage: Bacteria
Description: bacterial SSU rRNA
Rfam family: Bacterial small subunit ribosomal RNA
Source: RNAcentral
GACGAACGCUGGCGGCGUGCUUAACACAUGCAAGUCGAACGGAAAGGCCUCUUUCGGGGGGUACUCGAGUGGCGAACGGGUGAGUAACACGUGAGUAACCUGCCCUUGACUUUGGGAUAACUUCAGGAAACUGGGGCUAAUACCGGAUAGGAGCUCCUGCUGCAUGGUGGGGGUUGGAAAGUUUCGGCGGUUGGGGAUGGACUCGCGGCUUAUCAGCUUGUUGGUGGGGUAGUGGCUUACCAAGGCUUUGACGGGUAGCCGGCCUGAGAGGGUGACCGGCCACAUUGGGACUGAGAUACGGCCCAGACUCCUACGGGAGGCAGCAGUGGGGAAUAUUGCACAAUGGGUGGAAGCCUGAUGCAGCAACGCCGUGUGCGGGAUGACGGCCUCGGUGUAACG